RNAcentral lists this ribosomal RNA (254 nucleotides) under uncultured bacterium. RNAcentral describes it as "partial 16S ribosomal RNA". It matches the Rfam family "Bacterial small subunit ribosomal RNA", at positions 524 to 776 of the family's 1533-position model. The record is from RNAcentral.
UACGUAGGGUGCAAGCGUUUGUCCGGAAUUAUUGGGCGUAAAGAGCUCGUAGGCGGUUCGUCGCGUCGGCUGUGAAAUCCCGGAGCUCAACUCCGGGUCUGCAGUCGAUACGGGCGGACUUGAGUACUGCAGGGGAGACUGGAAUUCCUGGUGUAGCGGUGGAAUGCGCAGAUAUCAGGAGGAACACCGAUGGCGAAGGCAGGUCUCUGGGCUGUAACUGACGCUGAGGAGCGAAAGCAUGGGGAGCGAACAGG